This 451-nucleotide small RNA is filed under the name Pongo abelii (Sumatran orangutan). RNAcentral's name for it is "retained intron". Lineage: Eukaryota; Metazoa; Chordata; Mammalia; Primates; Hominidae. The record is from RNAcentral.
GGCGCGCGCGGCGGCCGGGCUGGACCUUGCUGGCCCGCGGCGCCAUGAGCCGCAGCCUGGACUCGGCGCAGAGCUUCCUGGAGCGGCUGGAAGCGCGGGGCGGCUGGGAGGGGGCAGUUCUCGCCGGCGAGUUCAGCAAAAGGUGUGAGCGGUACUGGGCCCAGGAGCAGGAGCCACUGCAGACCGGGCUUUUCUGCAUCACUCUGAUAAAGGAGAAGUGGCUGAAUGAGGACAUCAUGCUCAGGACCCUCAAGGUCACAUUCCAGAAGGAGUCCCGUUCUGUGUACCAGCUACAGUAUAUGUCCUGGCCAGACCGUGGGGUCCCCAGCAGUCCUGACCACAUGCUUGCCAUGGUGGAGGAAGCCCGUCGCCUCCAGGGAUCUGGCCCUGAACCCCUCUGUGUCCACUGCAGGUUUGGGAAAUGGGCUUCAGGAGGGUCUGGUGAGGCAGA